This 250-nucleotide ribosomal RNA is filed under the name Lactiplantibacillus plantarum. Its description in RNAcentral is "Lactobacillus plantarum partial 16S ribosomal RNA". It matches the Rfam family "Bacterial small subunit ribosomal RNA", at positions 67 to 311 of the family's 1533-position model. The record is from RNAcentral. Lineage: Bacteria; Bacillati; Bacillota; Bacilli; Lactobacillales; Lactobacillaceae.
CUUGCAUCAUGAUUUACAUUUGAGUGAGUGGCGAACUGGUGAGUAACACGUGGGAAACCUGCCCAGAAGCGGGGGAUAACACCUGGAAACAGAUGCUAAUACCGCAUAACAACUUGGACCGCAUGGUCCGAGUUUGAAAGAUGGCUUCGGCUAUCACUUUUGGAUGGUCCCGCGGCGUAUUAGCUAGAUGGUGGGGUAACGGCUCACCAUGGCAAUGAUACGUAGCCGACCUGAGAGGGUAAUCGGCCAC